GACGAACGCUGGCGGCGUGCUUAACACAUGCAAGUCGAACGGAAAGACCCUGCUUUUGUGGGGUGCUCGAGUGGCGAACGGGUGAGUAACACGUGAGUAACCUGCCCUUGACUUUGGGAUAACUUCAGGAAACUGGGGCUCAUACCGGAUAGGAGCUCCUGCUGCAUGGUGGGGGUUGGAAAGUUUCGGCGGUUGGGGAUGGACUCGCGGCUUAUCAGCUUGUUGGUGGGGUAGUGGCUUACCAAGGCUUUGACGGGUAGCCGGCCUGAGAGGGUGACCGGCCACAUUGGGACUGAGAGACGGCCCAGACUCCUACGGGAGGCAGCAGUGGGGAAUAUUGCACAAUGGGCGGAAGCCUGAUGCAGCAACGCCGCGUGCGGGAUGACGGCCUUCGGGUUGUAAACCGAUUUCGCCGGUGACGAAGCGUGAGUGACGGUAAUGGGUAAAGAAGCACCGGCUAACUACGUG
RNAcentral lists this ribosomal RNA (468 nucleotides) under uncultured bacterium. Its description in RNAcentral is "partial 16S ribosomal RNA". It matches the Rfam family "Bacterial small subunit ribosomal RNA", at positions 28 to 507 of the family's 1533-position model. The record is from RNAcentral.